RNAcentral lists this ribosomal RNA (482 nucleotides) under uncultured bacterium. Its description in RNAcentral is "partial 16S ribosomal RNA". It matches the Rfam family "Bacterial small subunit ribosomal RNA", at positions 30 to 507 of the family's 1533-position model. The record is from RNAcentral.
AUUGAACGCUGGCGGCAUGCCUUACACAUGCAAGUCGAACGGUAACAGGUCUUCGGAUGCUGACGAGUGGCGAACGGGUGAGUAAUACAUCGGAACGUGCCCGAUCGUGGGGGAUAACGAGGCGAAAGCUUUGCUAAUACCGCAUACGAUCUACGGAUGAAAGCGGGGGAUCUUCGGACCUCGCGCGGACGGAGCGGCCGAUGGCAGAUUAGGUAGUUGGUGGGAUAAAAGCUUACCAAGCCGACGAUCUGUAGCUGGUCUGAGAGGAUGAUCAGCCACACUGGGACUGAGACACGGCCCAGACUCCUACGGGAGGCAGCAGUGGGGAAUUUUGGACAAUGGGCGAAAGCCUGAUCCAGCCAUGCCGCGUGCAGGAUGAAGGCCUUCGGGUUGUAAACUGCUUUUGUACGGAACGAAAAGCCUCUUUCUAAUAAAGAGGGGUCAUGACGAUACCGUAAGAAUAAGCACCGGCUAACUACGUG